This 457-nucleotide ribosomal RNA is filed under the name uncultured bacterium. RNAcentral's name for it is "bacterial SSU rRNA". It matches the Rfam family "Bacterial small subunit ribosomal RNA", at positions 340 to 786 of the family's 1533-position model. The record is from RNAcentral.
UACGGGAGGCAGCAGGGGGAAUAUUGCACAAUGGGCGAAAGCCUGAUGCAGCUAUGCCGCGUGUAUGAAGAAGGCCUUAGGGUUGUAAAGUACUUUCAUCGGGGAGGAAAAAACAAAACUAAUAAUUUUAUUUCUUGACGUUACCCGAAAAAGAAGCACCGGCUAACUCCGUGCCAGCAGCCGCGGUAAUACGGAGGGUGCUAGCGUUAAUCAGAAUUACUGGGCGUAAAGAGCACGUAGGUGGUUUUUUUAAGUCAGAUGUGAAAUCCCUGGGCUUUAACCUAGGAACUGCAUUUUGAAACUGAAAUACUAGAGUAUCGUAGAGGGAGGUAGAAUUCUAGGUGUAGCGGUGAAAUGCGUAGAUAUCUGGAGGAAUACCUGUGGCGAAAGCGGCCUCCUAAACGAAUACUGACACUGAGGGUGCGAAAGCGUGGGGAGCAAACAGGGAUUAGAUACC